Molecule: ribosomal RNA, 254 nt
Filed under: uncultured bacterium
Lineage: Bacteria
Description: partial 16S ribosomal RNA
Rfam family: Bacterial small subunit ribosomal RNA
Source: RNAcentral
UACGGAGGGGGCAAGCGUUAUUCGGAAUUACUGGGCGUAAAGGGCGCGUAGGCGGUCGUGACAAGUCACUUGUGAAAUCUCCGGGCUUAACUCGGAACGGUCAAGUGAUACUGUCGGACUAGAGUACAGAAGGGGCAACUGGAAUUCUCGGUGUAGCGGUGAAAUGCGUAGAUAUCGAGAGGAACACCUGCGGCGAAGGCGGGUUGCUGGGCUGAUACUGACGCUGAGGCGCGAAAGCCAGGGGAGCGAACGGG